Molecule: long non-coding RNA, 257 nt
Filed under: Lathyrus oleraceus (garden pea)
Lineage: Eukaryota; Viridiplantae; Streptophyta; Magnoliopsida; Fabales; Fabaceae
Description: Pisum sativum (pea) long non-coding RNA (PSAT_LNC027422)
Source: RNAcentral
UUUAAUCGAUUAGAGCUUUCUUUUAAUCGAUUGUGGAAGGAGUUUUAUCCCACUCUAUUUAUCAAGCCAAUUUAUCGUUUAAGGAGAGAGCUUGGCUUAGGGUUUCCUAUUUUGGGAAAGUCUAAUCGAUUAGCAAUGUAGCUUGGUCGAUUAGAGAGUGUCCUAGCCCAUGGAUUGUUUCCCUUUUUUAGCUAAAAUAUUUUCCUAUAUAAAGGAGUUAUGUUCUCACUUCUAAAGCACAAAUAUUGUAAACUUAA